GGUUAAGUGACUAAGCGUACACGGUGGAUGCCUUGGCAGUCAGAGGCGAUGAAGGACGUACUAACCUGCGAUAAGCCGUGAUGAGUCGGUAAGAGACAUUAUCAAUCACGGAUUUCCGAAUGGGGAAACCCACCCGAGAUAACUCGGGUAUCUGUUACUGAAUACAUAGGUAACAGAGGCGAACCGGGAGAACUGAAACAUCUAAGUACCCCGAGGAAAAGAAAUCAACCGAGAUUCCCUCAGUAGCGGCGAGCGAACGGGGAUUAGCCCUUAAGCAUCUUGGGCGUUAGUGGAACGGUCUGGAAAGGCCGGCGAUACAGGGUGAUAGCCCCGUACACGAAAGCAACCUUGAUGUGAAAUCGAGUAGGGCGGGACACGUGAUAUCCUGUCUGAACAUGGGGGGACCAUCCUCCAAGGCUAAAUACUCCUGACUGACCGAUAGUGAACCAGUACCGUGAGGGAAAGGCGAAAAGAACCCCUGUGAGGGGAGUGAAAUAGAACCUGAAACCGUGUACGUACAAGCAGUGGGAGCCCUUCGGGGUGACUGCGUACCUUUUGUAUAAUGGGUCAGCGACUUACAUUCUGUAGCGAGGUUAACCGUAUAGGGGAGCCGUAGGGAAACCGAGUCUUAACUGGGCGAAUAGUUGCAGGGUGUAGACCCGAAACCGGGUGAUCUAGCCAUGGGCAGGUUGAAGGUUGAGUAACAUCAACUGGAGGACCGAACCCACUAACGUUGCAAAGUUAGGGGAUGACCUGUGGCUGGGGGUGAAAGGCCAAUCAAACUCGGAGAUAGCUGGUUCUCCCCGAAAGCUAUUUAGGUAGCGCCUCGGACGAAUACUACUGGGGGUAGAGCACUGUUAAGGCUAGGGGGUCAUCCCGACUUACCAACCCUUUGCAAACUCCGAAUACCAGUAAGUACUAUCCGGGAGACACACGGCGGGUGCUAACGUCCGUCGUGAAGAGGGAAACAACCCAGACCGCCGGCUAAGGUCCCAAAGUUCUGGUUAAGUGGGAAACGAUGUGGGAAGGCUCAGACAGCUAGGAUGUUGGCUUAGAAGCAGCCAUCAUUUAAAGAAAGCGUAAUAGCUCACUAGUCGAGUCGGCCUGCGCGGAAGAUGUAACGGGGCUCAAACCAGGCACCGAAGCCGCGGAUUUGCACUCAGUGCAAGUGGUAGGGGAGCGUUCUGUAAGUCUGCGAAGGUGU
Molecule: ribosomal RNA, 1204 nt
Filed under: Aeromonas simiae
Lineage: Bacteria; Pseudomonadati; Pseudomonadota; Gammaproteobacteria; Aeromonadales; Aeromonadaceae
Description: partial 23S ribosomal RNA
Rfam family: Bacterial large subunit ribosomal RNA
Source: RNAcentral